This is a non-coding RNA of Myotis brandtii (Brandt's bat), 75 nucleotides long. The record is from Rfam. Lineage: Eukaryota; Metazoa; Chordata; Mammalia; Chiroptera; Vespertilionidae.
AGCUGGUCUUGGGUGACGCACCCUGGAAUUGGGCUCCCUCCUCUCUGGUUCCAGAUGCAUCAACCGAGAACAGCA